This 72-nucleotide transfer RNA is filed under the name Schmidingerella taraikaensis. It matches the Rfam family "tRNA", at positions 5 to 66 of the family's 71-position model. Rfam says of the family: Transfer RNA (tRNA) molecules are approximately 80 nucleotides in length. Their secondary structure includes four short double-helical elements and three loops (D, anti-codon, and T loops). The record is from RNAcentral. Lineage: Eukaryota; Ciliophora; Spirotrichea; Tintinnida; Rhabdonellidae.
AUGAUGGCCGAGUGGUCUAAGGCGCUGGCUUUAGGCGCCAGUCCGAAAGGGCGUGGGUUCGAACCCCACUCA